AGGUGGUGAUGGGGAACAUUCUGUUGAAGAUCCUUUAACCUUUCCCAAGAUUCACUGAAGGACUCACCAUCAUAUUGCAUGAAAUCAAUUAUCUCUUUAGUUAACUU
Small nucleolar RNA from Mercurialis annua (annual mercury), 107 nucleotides. The record is from RefSeq and is a predicted model, not a curated record. NCBI's taxonomy places the organism in Eukaryota, Viridiplantae, Streptophyta, Magnoliopsida, Malpighiales, Euphorbiaceae.